UGACGUAAGUUGUGCGAAACAAAAUACAGCAUGUAGCUCCAUGACGAUUUCACCUUUAAAUUAGGUGGUGCUACGACAAACCUACAGCAAACUGAGACUUUCUUCAGUUAAAAGGGACGAACAUCAUAUGUGUAAUUCAUGGCUCAAUCCCCCAAAAAUAUGUCUCUCCCGUUGACUACUGUGCAUAUUAUUUUCUGACAUAAGGCCCAUGAGGUCCACCAGAAGAGGGAGGAACUUUGCGUCUCUAUUUCACCACAUUUUCCCUACAAGCCUUAUGAUGUAAUGUCAUCCAACUAUGUAUUAAUGUUUAAAAACCAGCUUUGUGCAUGAAUGUUGUUGCUGUGUGUGUAAAGCCGAGUAACCGUGCUGUAGAUCUGGGACCGCCCGCUGUAGAAGUUACCUCACACGUCAGCAUUUUUUUC
Molecule: long non-coding RNA, 422 nt
Organism: Etheostoma cragini (Arkansas darter)
Lineage: Eukaryota; Metazoa; Chordata; Actinopteri; Perciformes; Percidae
Exons: 3
Source: RefSeq, a predicted model, not a curated record